CUGUGCAAAGGUAGCAUAAUCAUUAGUUUUUUAAUUGAAGGCUUGUAUGAAGGGUCUGACAAAGAAAAAGCUGUCUUUAAUUUUAUUUUUGAAUUUAACUUUUAAGUGAAAAGGCUUAAAUAAAUUUAAGGGACGAUAAGACCCUAUAAAUCUUUAUAUUAAAUUAUUAUCUUGAAUUUUAAUGGUUUGUCUAGAUUGUUAAGUAAAGUAAUAAAUAUUUUGUUGGGGUGAUGAGAAUAUAAAAAUAACUGUUCUAAAACGAAACAAAGUUGUUUGAAAAUAAUUUAUAGAUCCUUCUUAGAGAUUAAAAGUUUAAGUUACUUUAGGGAUAACAGCGUUAUUUUUUUUGAGAGUUCUUAUCGAAAAAAAAGUUUGCGACCUCGAUGUUGAAUUAAAAUUUCUCUACGGUGUAGAAGUUGUGGGAGAGAGUCUGUUCGACUUUUGAAAUUUU
This 451-nucleotide ribosomal RNA is filed under the name Paramunida luminata. Its description in RNAcentral is "partial 16S ribosomal RNA". It matches the Rfam family "Bacterial large subunit ribosomal RNA", at positions 1946 to 2597 of the family's 2925-position model. The record is from RNAcentral. Lineage: Eukaryota; Metazoa; Arthropoda; Malacostraca; Decapoda; Munididae.